GACAGAGGGUGCAAACGUUGCUCGGAAUCACUGGGCGUAAAGGGCGUGUAGGCGGGUAGAUAAGUCGGGCGUGAAAUCCCUAGGCUCAACCUAGGAACUGCACUCGAAACUGUUUAUCUUGAGUGCCGGAGAGGAAAGCGGAAUUCCUGGUGUAGAGGUGAAAUUCGUAGAUAUCAGGAGGAACACCAGUGGCGAAGGCGGCUUCCUGGACCUGUUCUGACACUGAGGAGCGAAAGCGUGGGGAGCGAUCCGG
RNAcentral lists this ribosomal RNA (253 nucleotides) under uncultured bacterium. RNAcentral describes it as "partial 16S ribosomal RNA". It matches the Rfam family "Bacterial small subunit ribosomal RNA", at positions 524 to 776 of the family's 1533-position model. The record is from RNAcentral.